Molecule: ribosomal RNA, 1497 nt
Filed under: metagenome
Description: bacterial SSU rRNA
Rfam family: Bacterial small subunit ribosomal RNA
Source: RNAcentral
AGAGUUUGAUCCUGGCUCAGGAUGAACGCUAGCUACAGGCUUAACACAUGCAAGUCGAGGGGAAACGAUAUUGGAAGCUUGCUUCCGAUAGGCGUCGACCGGCGCACGGGUGAGUAACGCGUAUCCAACCUGCCCAUCACUUGGGGAUAACCUUGCGAAAGUAAGACUAAUACCCAAUGACGUCUCUAGAAGACAUCUGAAGGAGAUUAAAGAUUUAUCGGUGAUGGAUGGGGAUGCGUCAGAUUAGCUUGUUGGCGGGGUAACGGCCCACCAAGGCUACGAUCAGUAGGGGUUCUGAGAGGAAGGUCCCCCACAUUGGAACUGAGACACGGUCCAAACUCCUACGGGAGGCAGCAGUGAGGAAUAUUGGUCAAUGGACGAGAGUCUGAACCAGCCAAGUAGCGUGCAGGAUGACGGCCCUAUGGGUUGUAAACUGCUUUUAUAAGGGAAUAAAGUGAGCCUCGUGAGGCUUUUUGCAUGUACCUUAUGAAUAAGGACCGGCUAAUUCCGUGCCAGCAGCCGCGGUAAUACGGAAGGUCCGGGCGUUAUCCGGAUUUAUUGGGUUUAAAGGGAGCGUAGGCCGGAGAUUAAGCGUGUUGUGAAAUGUAGACGCUCAACGUCUGCACUGCAGCGCGAACUGGUUUCCUUGAGUACGCACAAAGUGGGCGGAAUUCGUGGUGUAGCGGUGAAAUGCUUAGAUAUCACGAAGAACUCCGAUUGCGAAGGCAGCACACUGGAGCGCAACUGACGCUGAAGCUCGAAAGUGCGGGUAUCGAACAGGAUUAGAUACCCUGGUAGUCCACGCCCUAAACGAUGUCUACUAGUUGUCGGGUCUUAAUUGACUUGGUAACGCAGCUAACGCGUGAAGUAGACCGCCUGGGGAGUACGGUCGCAAGAUUAAAACUCAAAGGAAUUGACGGGGACCCGCACAAGCGGUGGAUGAUGUGGAUUAAUUCGAUGCAACGCGAAAAACCUUACCUACCCUUGACAUGUCAGAGAGCUCGAAGAGAUUUGAGUGUGCUCGAAAGAGAAUCUGAACACAGGUGCUGCAUGGCUGUCGUCAGCUCGUGUCGUGAGAUGUUGGGUUAAGUCCCGCAACGAGCGCAACCCUUGUCAUUAGUUGCUACGAAAGGGCACUCUAAUGAGACUGCCGGUGACAAACCGGAGGAAGGUGGGGAUGACGUCAAGUCCUCAUGGCCCUUAUGGGUAGGGCUUCACACGUCAUACAAUGGUACAUACAGAGGGCUGCCAACCCGCGAGGGGGAGCUAAUCCCAGAAAGUGUAUCGUAGUCCGGAUUGGAGUCUGCAACUCGACUCCAUGAAGUUGGAAUCGCUAGUAAUCGCGGAUCAGCAUGUCGCGGUGAAUACGUUCCCGGGUCUUGUACACACCGCCCGUCACACCAUGGGAGCGGGUUUUACCAGAAGUAGGUAGCCUAACCGCAAGGAGGGCGCUUACCACGGUAGGAUUCGUGACUGGGGUGAAGUCGUAACAAGGUA